This 86-nucleotide transfer RNA is filed under the name Puccinia triticina. RNAcentral describes it as "tRNA-Thr". It matches the Rfam family "tRNA". From Rfam's summary of the family: Transfer RNA (tRNA) molecules are approximately 80 nucleotides in length. Their secondary structure includes four short double-helical elements and three loops (D, anti-codon, and T loops). Further hydrogen bonds mediate the characteristic L-shaped molecular structure. tRNAs have two regions of fundamental functional importance: the anti-codon, which is responsible for specific mRNA codon recognition, and the 3' end, to which the tRNAs corresponding amino acid is attached (by aminoacyl-tRNA synthetases). tRNAs cope with the degeneracy of the genetic code in two manners: having more than one tRNA (with a specific anti-codon) for a particular amino acid; and 'wobble' base-pairing, i.e. permitting non-standard base-pairing at the 3rd anti-codon position. The record is from RNAcentral. Lineage: Eukaryota; Fungi; Basidiomycota; Pucciniomycetes; Pucciniales; Pucciniaceae.
GCUUCUGUAGCCUAGUUGGUAAAGGCAGCACUCUAGUAUGUGUCUCAGCAUAGCUGAGGUCGUGAGUUCGACUCUCACCAGACACA